CUGUGUGGUAAGUAGCUUCCUUACCUGCCAUACUGAAAGAAACAGUAUGGAAGACGUGCACGAAAGGUAUAGUGACAGGUACCUUUGUAUCCGGCCAGGGGUUGGUUAACUUUUUCAGUUACCACCUCGGUAGUAAGAUCAGGCUGGAGAAGGUGU
Molecule: long non-coding RNA, 156 nt
Organism: Octopus sinensis (East Asian common octopus)
Lineage: Eukaryota; Metazoa; Mollusca; Cephalopoda; Octopoda; Octopodidae
Exons: 4
Source: RefSeq, a predicted model, not a curated record